This 1504-nucleotide ribosomal RNA is filed under the name metagenome. RNAcentral describes it as "bacterial SSU rRNA". It matches the Rfam family "Bacterial small subunit ribosomal RNA". The record is from RNAcentral.
AGAAUUUGAUCUUGGUUCAGAUUGAAUGCUGACGGCGUGGAUGAGGCAUGCAAGUCGAACGAAUGUUACUUGUAACAUUAGUGGCGGAAGGGUUAAUAAAGUAUGAAUAACCUACCUUUUACCUAGGGAUAACAGUUGGAAACGGCUGCUAAUACCAAAUGAAGUGUUCUUAUAGCAUUAUAAGGAUAUGAAAGUUGGGGACCUUCGGGCCUAGCGGUAGAAGAGGGGUUCAUAAGAUAUCAGCUAGUUGGUAAGGUAAAAGCUUACCAAGGCUAAGACGUCUAGGCGGGCUGAGAGGCUGACCGCCAACACUGGGACUGAGACACUGCCCAGACUUCUACGGGAGGCUGCAGUCGAGAAUCAUUCGCAAUGGGCGAAAGCCUGACGAUGCGACGCCGUGUGAACGAAGAAGGCCUUUGGGUUGUAAAGUUCUUUCGUCCGGGAACAAGGGAAGUGGUUAAAUAGACUGCGGAUUUGAUAGUACCGGAUAAAGAAGCACCGGCUAACUCCGUGCCAGCAGCUGCGGUAAUACGGAGGGUGCAAGCAUUAAUCGGAAUUAUUGGGCGUAAAGAGCGCGUAGGUGGCAAAGGAAGUCUUAGUUGAAAUUACAAAGCUUAACUUUGUAGCUGGCUAAGAAACUCUUUAGCUAGAGGGAUGACGGAGAAAACGGAAUUUCACGUGUAGCGGUGAAAUGCGUAGAUAUGUGAAGGAAGACCGGUGGCGAAAGCGGUUUUCUAGUUUACCCCUGACACUGAGGCGCGAAAGCAAGGGGAGCAAACAGGAUUAGAUACCCUGGUAGUCCUUGCAGUAAACGAUGUAUACUUGAUGUAGUUAGAAUCAACCCUAACUGUGUCGAAGCUAACGUGAUAAGUAUACCGCCUGAGGAGUACGCUCGCAAGGGUGAAACUCAAAAGAAUUGACGGGACCCGCACAAGCAGUGGGGCAUGUGGUUUAAUUCGAUGCAACGCGAAGAACCUUACCCAGGCUUGACAUGCAGAGGAAGUUAUGAGAAAUUAUAACGCUCUUCGGAGUCUCUGUGCAGGUGCUGCAUGGCUGUCGUCAGCUCGUGCCGUGAGGUGUUGGGUUAAGUCCCGCAACGAGCGCAACCCUUAUCGUUAGUUGCCAGCAAGUUAAGUUGGGGACUCUAGCGAGACUGCCCGGGUUAACCGGGAGGAAGGUGAGGAUGACGUCAAGUCAGCAUGGCCCUUAUGCCUGGGGCUACACACGUGCUACAAUGGUAGGUACAGAAGGCAGCGAAGCCGAGAGGUGGAGCAAAUCCUAGAAAACCUAUCCCAGUUCGGAUUGUAGUCUGCAACUCGACUACAUGAAGUUGGAAUUGCUAGUAAUGGCGUGUCAGCAAUAACGCCGUGAAUACGUUCCCGGGUCUUGUACACACCGCCCGUCACAUCAUGGGAGUUGGUUUUGCCCGAAGUCACUGACUUAACCGCAAGGGAAGAGGUGCCUAAGGUAAAGCCGAUGACUGGGAUGAAGUCGUAACAAGGUA